RNAcentral lists this ribosomal RNA (301 nucleotides) under uncultured bacterium. RNAcentral's name for it is "partial 16S ribosomal RNA". It matches the Rfam family "Bacterial small subunit ribosomal RNA", at positions 509 to 807 of the family's 1533-position model. The record is from RNAcentral.
CAGUAGCCACGGUAAUACGGAGGGUGCAAGCGUUAAUCGGAAUUACUGGGCGUAAAGCGCACGCAGGCGGUCUGACAAGUCAGAUGUGAAAUCCCCGGGCUUAACCUGGGAACUGCAUUUGAAACUGGCAGGCUAGAGUCUUGUAGAGGGGGGUAGAAUUCCAGGUGUAGCGGUGAAAUGCGUAGAGAUCUGGAGGAAUACCGAUGGCGAAGGCAGCCAUCUGGCCUAAUACUGACGCUGAGGUACGAAAGCAUGGGGAGCAAACAGGAUUAGAUACCCGAGUAGUCCCUGUCUCUUAUAC